AUGAGGCACGACAACCUCGUCCGCUAUGUGUCCAGUCGGUUGAGCCAGCUCGCAUGGUCCGUUCUGUGGGAGCCCCACUACACCCUACCAGAAGUUCUCAAACCGGAUCUGGUGGCUUAUAAGGGGGAGGACUCCCUGAUCAUCAACACUCAAGUCGUCGGUACGAGGAUGGGAUUGGGUUUCCUCCACCACCAGAAGAAAGACAAAUACUCCGGGGUGGAGCUGCGACGGCUGGUCCAGGGGGAGAGGACAGGCUCUCUCACUGUCACUACGGUGACCCUUAACUUCAGAGGCGUUUGGUCACCAGAAAGUGCCCGGGACUUACAAAGCCUGGGCCUGACGGACAAUGACCUCAAGCUCAUCUCCACAAUUGGAGCAAGGAAAAAAAAGUUAAUUUCAAUAAAACAAAAUCUCAAUAAAAAAAGGCCACCAAAAGUAAAAUUCGGAAAUAAGAAUCUUAAACAUACGGAAGAGCUCAAGAUAUUAGGUGUUAUAUUCGAUCGAAACCUAUCAUUUAUUCAGCACGCCAACUACCUAAAAUCUAAAAUAUACCAAAAUACCACUAAAUUCGCUACAUUUGCAGGAACAAAAUGGGGAAUGAAACCUAAACAAUUCAGAGAUAUCUAUAUAAAAUCAAUCGAAAGAACAAUAGUUUACGCAGCACCAGUUUACUGGAAAUCCACCAAUAACUCGCACCUACUUAGAAAAAUGACUUCGGUACAAAGAAUACCACUUAUAAAAAUUGUCAAAGCCUACAGGACUGUUAGUAACAAAAGUCUUAAUAUACUUGCAAACAUAAAACCAAUUGAACUAACACUUAACAAGGAAGUAGCAACAUUCAACAUUUUUCAGAAUAAGAAAGAUUACAUAAUUGGCAGGAAACAAUAUAAAAAAAAAAUAAAUAAAACUCGGCACUUAAUUGAGGUAUGGAAGACUCACCCCGCAAAGUUGGAGGGCUUCCCCUUCCGAAACAAGAACUAAACCGCCAUCCCAACAGACCAUAAGAUAUACACCGAUGGAUCGGUAACAAAAACAUCAGUGGGCGCCAGUUGUAUAGUAAUGAACCAAACGGAGACAAUCAUAGCUAUGAAAAAAAUAAAACUACCAAUAUAUGCAAAUAUAUACGAAGCCGAAUUGAUCGCUAUACUGGAAGCACUAAAGGAAACACUAAAAUAUGAAAAUAACACCACCUUUGCAAUAUACUCCGACAGUCUAUCUUCACUAAAGGCAAUAGAAAACCCAUAUAACAAUAACCCAAUAGUACAUAAGAUAAAAGAAACAAUAAAAAGAAUCCCUCUAAAACAUAAACUCUAUUUGCACCACAUAAAAGGACAUUCGAAUAUCGACGGGAAUGACAUAGCAGACAAAUUGGCUAAUGAAGCACGAAAAACAGGCACACCAAUAGAAUUAAAAAUGUAAAAAAAAAAACACAUCAAGAACGAGGUAGAAAAAAGCAUGAGGGAUAUUUGGGAAGAAGAAUGGACACAGUGACACGGACA
Molecule: RNA transcript, 1499 nt
Organism: Ixodes scapularis (black-legged tick)
Lineage: Eukaryota; Metazoa; Arthropoda; Arachnida; Ixodida; Ixodidae
Exons: 2
Source: RefSeq, a predicted model, not a curated record